Molecule: long non-coding RNA, 245 nt
Organism: Thalassophryne amazonica
Lineage: Eukaryota; Metazoa; Chordata; Actinopteri; Batrachoidiformes; Batrachoididae
Exons: 3
Source: RefSeq, a predicted model, not a curated record
CACCCUGCCCAGGCAACUUUACCUUGAACAUGUAGUCACAUGUUCAUUGCUCUUUCAAUGCCUUUUAUAUGCCUGGUCAAAGUUAGACAGAUCCCCAAAACCCAAUUUUGACCAGACAAGACAUCCCUGAGAUGGUUUCAUCAGGAGGCAUAGCCAACAGUACAUUUUCUUUGUCACAGCACUUCCAGUCAGCCAGCUAACUUCAUCAUAGCAGGAGAGCUCAGACGACCUCCUACUUUUCCCCA